UACGAAGGGGGCUAGCGUUGUUCGGAAUUACUGGGCGUAAAGCGCACGUAGGCGGAUUUGUAAGUCAGGGGUGAAAUCCCGGGGCUCAACCUCGGAACUGCCUUUGAUACUGCAAGUCUUGAGUCCGAUAGAGGUGAGUGGAAUUCCUAGUGUAGAGGUGAAAUUCGUAGAUAUUAGGAAGAACACCAGUGGCGAAGGCGGCUCACUGGAUCGGUACUGACGCUGAGGUGCGAAAGCGUGGGGAGCAAACGGG
This 253-nucleotide ribosomal RNA is filed under the name uncultured bacterium. RNAcentral describes it as "partial 16S ribosomal RNA". It matches the Rfam family "Bacterial small subunit ribosomal RNA", at positions 524 to 776 of the family's 1533-position model. The record is from RNAcentral.